AUGUGCUGGCAGGAAAAAAUGGGAAAUGUGGAAAAGGAAAGGAGACGCCAGUCCCCAAUAUCUUCUCUAGGGUUUAUAGAAUCAUGGAAAAGGGCCAUAAACAAUACCCAAGGGAAACCCCACCCCCUCCCCUCUCCCCUUCCCUGUCUGUCUGUCUGUCUGUCUCCAUCCAUCCUUCUCUCCCCUCCUCCGCCCCCGCUCCCCUGCGCCUCCUGCCCUCCUCCCAACCCCACCCGGCCACCACCUCGCCCCACCCUGCGUGCCCGGCACGUGCUCCUCUCCCUCUUCAACCCUAACUCCGGUGACUACCCGAGCGCGUGCGCGCGGACCACCGGCCAGGCCAAAGGAGCCGCCUUUUCAUUUCUGCCUUCUCGGGAGGGAGGGAAGGAGGGAGGGUUCUCGGGGACGCGCAUGGACCAUGGCGGCGGCAGCGGUGGGGGUGGAAGUGGAGGCGGGGGCGGAGCGCCGUCGAGCAGCAACAGCGGCGGGGGGAGCGCCGGAGGUACGAGCGGAAGCCGUGGCGGCGGCAGCGAUCACCAUCCGCACCACCCAUUCUACUACGCUGGCCCAGCGGAGCCCAACAACGUGCAGCAGCAGCCGCAGCCGCAGCAGUUCAUUGGGUCGCUCGCCAUAACCCCCGUCGUCACCGACCAAGCCCCGGCUUCCUCGGCGGAAAAGAAGGCGGUCGCGCCAGUGACUCCAUCGGCCGGCGCACUGGCGAAGCGGCCAUCCAAGGACCGGCACACCAAGGUGGAUGGCCGGGGAAGGAGGAUACGGAUGCCGGCUCUGUGCGCGGCGCGGGUUUUCCAGCUCACGCGGGAGCUCGGCCACAAGUCCGACGGCGAGACCAUCGAGUGGCUGCUGCAGCAGGCGGAGCCAGCCAUCCUCGCCGCCACCGGCACCGGCACCAUCCCGGCCAACUUCUCCUCCCUCAACAUCAGUCGCGCGGCCUCCGGCACCAGCCGCCCCGCGCCAUUCCCCGCCCUCGCGCUCCACCCCCACCACCACCACCACCAGUCGCCGCACCCUCAGCACGACAUGUCCACCAUGCUGGGUUACCACCACCUGCUCCCGCCGCCGCAGGAGCCGCCCCAGGACGCAAAUAGUCCCGGCUCGUUCAUGAGGAAGCGGUACCGAGAGGACCUGUUCAAGGAGGACGACGAGCGGCAAGAUCCUAACGCGCCCAAGGCGCGCGAGCAGCAGGCGGCGCCGCCCGCCGCAAUGUGGGCCGUGGCGCCGAACAGCGCGGCGCCUGGAGGCGCGUUCUGGAUGUUGCCCGUGUCCGCGAGCCAGGCUGCCGCGGCUCGGCCGACCGAGCAGCCUAUGUGGUCUUUCGGCGGCGGCGGGGGGAGCAGCACCGUGCAGGCGCCGCUGCAGUUCAUGUCAACAAGGGUGAACUACCCUGGCAGCGCCGGCGCGAUGGGCGGCAUUCCCGACACCAACAUCGGCAUGCUUGCUGGGCUCAAUGCUUACGACCGCGGCGGCGGGGGCGGAGGAGGUACGGAAGAAGAGCAGCAGCAGCAGCAGGAGCAAGACCAGCAACAGGAAAUGGAGCAGCAGCGCGACGGCAGCGGCGGUGGCAACGAGGGCGAAGAGGACGGCGACGACGACAGCGGCGGAGAAGAGGAAGGCCAUGGCAACAACAGCUCACAGUAA
RNAcentral lists this ribosomal RNA (1656 nucleotides) under Triticum aestivum (bread wheat). RNAcentral's name for it is "partial small subunit ribosomal RNA". The record is from RNAcentral. Lineage: Eukaryota; Viridiplantae; Streptophyta; Magnoliopsida; Poales; Poaceae.